UGAGGAAUAUUGGACAAUGGGUGAGAGCCUGAUCCAGCCAUCCCGCGUGCAGGAAGACGGCCCUAUGGGUUGUAAACUGCUUUUAUACAGGAAUAAACCAUCCGACGUGUCGGAUGUUGAAGGUACUGUAUGAAUAAGCACCGGCUAACUCCGUG
Molecule: ribosomal RNA, 155 nt
Filed under: uncultured bacterium
Lineage: Bacteria
Description: partial 16S ribosomal RNA
Rfam family: Bacterial small subunit ribosomal RNA
Source: RNAcentral